UGGCGUCGGUCCCAAUCGGUGCCGAGUUCUGGAGAGCUUAGUCGUCAGUUCGACUCCAUAAGCUUCGAGUCCAGCAGUUCCUGUUACUCAUCAUGCAGCUGCAGUUACUGCCGGCUGAGGGACUGUGCGCAUGGACACAAGGGACUAAGCUAAGUUUCAUGUAACAUAUUGUUUAGCCUGUUUAAAACUUUAUUUAGGUAAUAACUUUGAUUCUCGGUAAAGAUUGUUUGUUAAAAGUAAAUAUAGACAUUACUAACAUACAAACUUUUUUGUGUAUUUGUGAAGGUUAUAUGUGUAGUACAGUUUUAUUAAUUAAGUAUAUCGCGUGAAUAUUUUUCAGAACAGGGGGCAAACUGCUAAAUUCUCAUCUGACUUCCUCCAGCUCGACACCUGGCGUUCCACAAUACAGCGCUUUUUAAGGCACUACCACUCUGUGGAACCAGCUGCCAGUAGAUAUGUAUUUCCAAACCGAUACGACUUAGGGGCUUCAAGAAAAGAGCGUUCCAUUCCCAUUCAUACUAUAAGUGCAACAAUAAUUCGUGGCUUGAGAGUAAAGUUUUGCUUAUUCAAAAAAUAAAGAUGCCCUCUAUUGGAAAUCAGAUGAACUUUGAUCGAAUACCUUAGCUAUGGCUAAACGAAAGCAUUCGUUUAUUUCGAAAAGCCGAAGACAAUUGAAAACAUUAAACAGACAGAUACUAUUAAAAACAUAUUAAAUGAACUAAUGGAAAAUAAGCAACAAAACCUAAAAAAUAUUGCUGAGAAAUUUGUGCUCGAAAAAUUCAUUCAUUCAUCAAUGGAUGAAUAUGUUUGAAAAUGAAUGCAUUCGUUUUGACUAGUUAUGAUGAUUUCGGGAUGCGCUUGAAAUCUACGAUUACGACGUAGAAACCACAACACUAUCUGAAAUAAUGCAGAGCUUCUUCAAGAGGAAGACCUGUGGUCCGGUCUGUGGCAGAAACACGCGCCAAAUAUAUCGCGAGACAAACAAGGAUUCUUUGAACAAGCACAGGCAGCAUAAUAUGAUGUAGAGAUGGCCAAAUUGAAGCCGAAAGAAGGAGUAUUCUGCAAAUCCAUCAUCAUACAAUAAACAUUUAAAUACCCUUUCCCCAGGACACUUUCUUAUUGGACGACCAUUAACCUCAGUGCCUUCUAAAGGUCUUGGUGAAUUCAAAUUUAGUCACUUACAAAGGUACCAGAGAAUUGAGCAAUUAAGGCAUCACUUUCGGAGACGAUGGCAAAAGGAGUACGUGGCGGAAUUACAACAGCGCACUAAAUGGAGAGAGAACAAAUCUGCCAAUCUUAAUAUUGGGGACCUAGUGCUGAUAGCCGAGCACAAUACUGCUCCUCUCUGCUGGAAGUUAGGUCGAGUGCAGUGGCUGAGAAAUGGCUUGGAUGGAGUGUCCAGAGAGUUGCCGGUACAAGAAGAAUAAAAAAGAAUGUUGAAAGAGUUUCAACGGCCGGGAGUAUGUUGCGACAUUGCGCAAGUUUUAUAUCAGGCGCAUUUUAAAAUUAUAAUUGUAAGGCGGGGCGACGUGCGCCAAAAAGCUGAAACCUCCAGGAAUUAAAUCGGUUAUUCAAGGCUCAAGUCAACUGUAGUUUCCAGUAUUUAUAUUAAAUAAUAAGGAUAAUAGGGAUCUUAAAAAUAAAUAAAACAAAUUAA
This is a long non-coding RNA of Pieris napi, 1657 nucleotides long. RefSeq lists it as uncharacterized. The transcript is spliced from 4 exons. Lineage: Eukaryota; Metazoa; Arthropoda; Insecta; Lepidoptera; Pieridae. The record is from RefSeq and is a predicted model, not a curated record.